Molecule: long non-coding RNA, 1562 nt
Organism: Hermetia illucens (black soldier fly)
Lineage: Eukaryota; Metazoa; Arthropoda; Insecta; Diptera; Stratiomyidae
Exons: 2
Source: RefSeq, a predicted model, not a curated record
UCUAUCAUUGAAACACUAAAAUGUUUUGGAAUAAGAUAAUAAUUUUCGGUUCGCAGCUUAUGCCACACUCGAUUAAAAUAUUUAAAUCGUUGAAGUAAACGCCAGGGAGAAAGUCGAGUUUUCAGGAAGCCACGGUAUUCUAUAGAUGAGCAUAAUUUGAUUUGUGAAUCACCACGGCGAAUUGCAGCCUCCAUAUGUACUUUCCGAGUCGGAUAUUAGUGUUGAUAUUGGUUGCAAGGGUGAGGAAUGGUAAGUUUCGGAAGAGGUCAAUUACUUCAAGGACUCAUUCAAAGAAAUUAAUCUACCGAAAAAUCUAAAAAGAAUUAUGAUGAUCCAUGGACAUGGUAUCUGGGCUCCAAAAUGCCCUUCGCCGACUCAAAAAAUGUUAAUAAUGUAUUAUGAUAAUUCACUGCGAACCCCCUUAAGUUCAUCAAAUAAUCGUGUUCGCAGUAAUGUAGGUUCUAAUAUGUCUAUAUUAUUAACAAAGUUAUAUGUUAGGUCGAAGUUGCUGUUUCGCAUUAACUUACUACUCCCUGAGGGGUAGAAUAUCAGUUUCACAACGAAUUGAAUAUCAAGUUUUGUUAUUGUUACAGAAAAAAUUAACAAAACCUUGCAUACCGUUUGAAGUCUUCUAUUUUACCUUUGCUUAAACACAGGUAGUUUUAGAAACUAAAAACAGGGGCACAAAAUUCAAGACGCAAUCAGCACUUUCAUACUUUGCCCAUGCUACUAAUAUCUAAGUCCAUUCAUUUCCGGUUUAUUUACCUUCUCUUGCUGCACUGACCAACUGCAUACAAUAUGAACACUCUUCGGAUAUGGUUUACUCGCUUCGUUACGGAAACACUCCUGCAAUCUCCAAGAAUCAUAAAAUUAUGUUGCAUAUGAAAAUUCCAAAAUUUAUUUGGUACUUGCCAAUAAUAUUGAUGUAACAAUUCGGAAUACGGGCAGCUGGUGCUUCGGGUAUAAAAGUUUUAUGCUAUUUCAUAUUUUUUAUCAAACUACAAGAUAUACGUACAUAUUACAGACGUAGAUAUUAUGCUCACCCUAAACAAACAAACAUUGCUUAUUACCGAAUCCUAUAUUUAUACAUGCAUGUAUAUAAAUUGUAUGUAUAUUGAAUACUGCAGGAAUAAUCUUCAAAUAUAUUUAUCUAAGUUAAGCGCUACCACAAAGCAUCAUUUGCAUAUAUUAGGUUGUUGCAUAUGAAAUGGCCGAUCUGGCAAUCAAGUGAAGUUAGUUGCGAUUUUGCUGUAUCAAACCACCACCAGUUGACGCCGUUAGUGUCGGAUAAUGAAGUAUAAAUACUUCUACAUUUAAUCAAGGAGUCAUUUAGUGCGGGCGCAGUUUGAAAAUACCAAGUUCUAUUACAAAUUGUCAAGAUCGAUGUAUAUAAAUAAAGAUAUACACAGUAAAGUAGAUUACAGAGAAGGUCGGGUUGGCCAAACCAUGUAAUAGUCACCCGUUUUGAUAGCAUUAAGAUCUAUUAGCCGUUAUUAAGCUAGCAUUAAGUAAUCAUUGUCUAGUUGUAAGUCACUAUGAGUAAAUAAAUGAAAUGAAAUGAA